GUAAAAUUGCUAGUAAGCAGAUCUCUAAACUAAGGUGUUUAUGGGAAUUUAAUUCUGCAUUUGUCAAACUACCGCAAAAUUAGCAAAUAUUAAUAGUCCAUGGUCAAAAUCAUAAAAUGCAAAAGUUUAUGGAAAUUCCUAGAAUUCCUGGAUCCUUACUUGUUAUUAGGAGGGAAAAUAGAAAGAGAAUCACAGAAACUGCAAGAACUCAUUUCUGAGAUUUCACAAUUUUUGCCGUUUCUCUUGAUUGUAAUUAAUUGUCUUUAAUAACACACAAAAGAAAAGAAACGGCAAAAGCUUGGCUUCCAAGUUUCCCUGUGCUUGCUUCAAGAGAAAAUUCUUGGAAGAAAAUGGCUACUCUCAAAGUGCCAGAUGCUGUUCCUUCUCCAACUCAAGACUGUGAGAGACUCAGAAAUGCUGUUCAAGGACUAGGGACAGAUGAGAGGGCGAUUAUAUGGAUUUUAGGGCACAGAAAUGCAAGUCAAAGGAGGAAAAUCAGAGAAACCUAUCAGCAGCUUUACAAGGAAUCUCUCGUUGAUCGUCUCCAUUCUGAGCUGUCCGGAGAUUUUAGAAAAGCAGUAAUUUUGUGGACUUAUGACCCCCAAGAAAGGGAUGCAAAACUGGCAAAUGAAGCAUUGAAAUCUAAGAAGAAAGGCACAAAAGAACUGCAAGUGAUAGUCGAGAUAGCUUGUGCAAAUUCUCCUCACCAUCUACAGGCAGUAAGGCAGGCCUAUUGUUCUCUUUUUGAUUGCUCCUUUGAAGAAGCCAUUGCAUCUGAAGUCUCUUUGCCCAUUAGAAAGGUAAGGAAAUCCCACUCAUAUUCAGAUAACAUUGAAUUUUACUAUUUGAGUCUAUUCAUCCUCAGAGUUUAGAGGUGAUGGCAUGAAGCCAUGAACUCUAUGAGUUAAUAAGUUUUAUGUAAAUUACCAAGUGAAUAACUUUGAAAAAUAGGAAAGGAAAAAUUGACUUUAAGAUCUUAGUUAUGUAUGGUGGAUUCCAUUUUAAAAUGCUGGUCCUUGUUGUCUUAGAUGUGUGGUUUAGGCAUGAGCUUUUUGCAUUGGUUGAAAGAACUUUAUUAGGUUCUUAGGGGUUUUAUAGCACAUAAGUGAUGCUAAUGUUUGCAUUGCACAGCUCUUGGUGGGUUUAGUAAGCUCUUACAGGUAUGAUAAAGAACUGGUGGAUAUGAAUAUAGCCAGCUCAGAGGCAUCUAAAUUGCAUGAAGCUAUCAAG
This 1230-nucleotide unclassified non-coding RNA is filed under the name Hevea brasiliensis (rubber tree). The record is from RNAcentral. Lineage: Eukaryota; Viridiplantae; Streptophyta; Magnoliopsida; Malpighiales; Euphorbiaceae.